GUAAAGUUUUAUUUUUUACUUUUGGUAUUCCCUCCAUAUUCUAAUUUUCCUCUAAAUUCUCUCCCGCAAAAAUGCUAUACCCUGUCAUACCUAGAAAUUAGAUUAAAGAAAACAAUUCAUAUUGCCACCAUCACUUUGCUCUCUAAAUCAAAUUUUCGGCCACCAUCACUUUGCUUUCUAAAUCUCCAUCGGCAACCAAAUUUCUGGCCACCAUCAAAAUUCUUGGUUUCGAGAUUGUUGCUGAAAUUGUUCUUCUCCUUCACUUUUUUAUCUUCAUCAUCAAAGUAUUUUGCUUACCAGAUGUUGGAUGUUGAUGUUGCUGUAUACGGCGGGAGCUGGAUUUGAAGAUGUG
This is a long non-coding RNA of Nicotiana tabacum (common tobacco), 352 nucleotides long. RefSeq lists it as uncharacterized. The record is from RefSeq and is a predicted model, not a curated record. Lineage: Eukaryota; Viridiplantae; Streptophyta; Magnoliopsida; Solanales; Solanaceae.